RNAcentral lists this ribosomal RNA (279 nucleotides) under uncultured bacterium. RNAcentral's name for it is "partial 16S ribosomal RNA". It matches the Rfam family "Bacterial small subunit ribosomal RNA", at positions 506 to 784 of the family's 1533-position model. The record is from RNAcentral.
UGCCAGCCGCCGCAGUAACACGAACCGUCCAAACGUUGUUCGGGAUUACUGGGCGUAAAGAGCAUGUAGGCGGAUGAAUUAGUCAGAGGUGAAAGCCCCGAGCUCAACUUGGGAACUGCCCUUGAUACUGUUUAUCUAGAGUCCGAGAGAGGUUAGUGGAAUUCCCAGUGUAGAGGUGAAAUUCGUAGAUAUUGGGAAGAACACCAGUGGCGAAGGCGGCUAACUGGCUCGGUACUGACGCUGAGAUGCGAAAGCGUGGGGAGCAAACAGGAUUAGAUA